This 474-nucleotide ribosomal RNA is filed under the name uncultured organism. RNAcentral's name for it is "partial 16S ribosomal RNA". It matches the Rfam family "Bacterial small subunit ribosomal RNA", at positions 331 to 797 of the family's 1533-position model. The record is from RNAcentral.
GUACACUCCUACGGGAGGCAGCAGUAGGGAAUCUUCGGCAAUGGGGGCAACCCUGACCGAGCAACGCCGCGUGAGUGAAGAAGGUUUUCGGAUCGUAAAGCUCUGUUGUAAGUCAAGAACGAGUGUGAGAGUGGAAAGUUCACACUGUGACGGUAGCUUACCAGAAAGGGACGGCUAACUACGUGCCAGCAGCCGCGGUAAUACGUAGGUCCCGAGCGUUGUCCGGAUUUAUUGGGCGUAAAGCGAGCGCAGGCGGUUUGAUAAGUCUGAAGUUAAAGGCUGUGGCUCAACCAUAGUUCGCUUUGGAAACUGUCAAACUUGAGUGCAGAAGGGGAGAGUGGAAUUCCAUGUGUAGCGGUGAAAUGCGUAGAUAUAUGGAGGAACACCGGUGGCGAAAGCGGCUCUCUGGUCUGUAACUGACGCUGAGGCUCGAAAGCGUGGGGAGCGAACAGGAUUAGAUACCCCGGUAGUCCC